This 440-nucleotide ribosomal RNA is filed under the name uncultured bacterium. RNAcentral describes it as "partial 16S ribosomal RNA". It matches the Rfam family "Bacterial small subunit ribosomal RNA", at positions 338 to 795 of the family's 1533-position model. The record is from RNAcentral.
CCUACGGGAGGCUGCAGUGGGGGAUAUUGCACAAUGGGGGGAACCCUGAUGCAGCGACGCCGCGUGGGGGAAGAAGCGCUUCGGCUCGUAAAGCUCUGUCAGCAGGGAAGAACAUGACCGUUGCUGAAGAAGCAGGCCCCGCCAACGACGUGCCAGGAGCCGCGGGAAUACGUAGGGGGCGAACGUUAGCCGGAAUUACUGGGUGUAAAGGGGGCGCAGGCGGGAAGGCAAGCCAGGAGUGAAAGCCCAGGGCCCAACCUCGGGACUGCACUUGGAACUGGGUGGCUGGAGUGCAGGAGGGGCAGGCGGAAUUCCUGGUGUAGCGGUGAAAUGCGUAGAUAUCAGGAGGAACACCGGUGGCGAAGGCGGCCUGCUGGACUGUAACUGACGCUGAGGCGCGAAAGCGUGGGGAGCAAACAGGAUUAGAUACCCCGGUAGUC